Molecule: long non-coding RNA, 1071 nt
Filed under: Monodelphis domestica (gray short-tailed opossum)
Lineage: Eukaryota; Metazoa; Chordata; Mammalia; Didelphimorphia; Didelphidae
Description: lncRNA (ENSMODG00000041305.1)
Source: RNAcentral
GUCAAAAAGAGAUUUUCUACACUACUAAAUUAUUUUCCACACAAAGUGAGCUGCACAAGUAUAUUGAAGUUUUGCUUUGAUCUUGUGAAGAUUAAAUUCAAUUCUCCCCUGAUUGUGAAAAUUAAAUUAACUCCCCUGCUCAUUUUUAGCUUUAAUCACCAAAAGUGUAAACACCCUACUUAAAGGUGAUUGGGGAGAUCUGCCCAUUUUUUGAUCUAAUCACCAAAAGUGUAAACAUCCCACUUAAUCAUUAAAUGGGAAGGUCUGUGACCCAUGUGUGCAGUAGUGGGUGAUUAAUCAAAAUCAAACUAACUGCCCCAUGGGCCAUCCUAAGCAAAGCUUCAACUGUGAUUGGUAAACAUAAAAUUAGGGGAAGGCACAGGAAGUGACACAAAAGAAAGUGUCUUUAAAAGGGAAUGACAACUUCCUGAGUGGAGUUCAACUUGAACUUUGUCUUCUUCUGGAGUUCUGAGUUUGAGUUGGAGACUGAAGAAGAAUCUGCCAACUGGACCUGAGACCCUAUUCCUCAUGAGACUGUCCUUGAAUCUUUCCCUUUGGACUGACACAUGCCUCCUGGUUUUCAAAGACUUGGUCUGAGCCUAGAAUCAAAAAGUCAGACUAUGAGUCCUCUGAAAAGGUAUAAUUUAAUUUUCUUUCAUAUUCCUUCUGAAUAAAAAGAUACUUAAGAAUUCUGUAUGAGUGUUAAAGAAAUACACACAAAAAUAGUCAUUUGAUAGAUUUCCAUGUUUGCAAUUGAGUUAUUUUCCCUACAAUGAUCAAUAUGUAUUUUAUUCUUGUGCAUUUGCUAAAUUAUUUUACCUUCAUCUGAGAGGAAUAGGUGAAUGUGAUUAAUUGGAAUACACUCUACAGAAAUGUGUUGUUCAACCAAAUUCUAUUAAGUAAUGACUUCUAUGUUCAAGACACUGAGCUAGAAACUGAUGAUACAAAGAAAACAAAAAAGAGUUCUUGAUUUUAAAUAACUUUUCUACUCAAAGCAGACAAUACACAUGCAUAUGAAUUUUAGGUGGGAGAAGGAAUAAACACUGGAAAUUGUCAAGGAAGUUGUGGUGG